GACGAACGCUGGCGGCGUGCUUAACACAUGCAAGUCGAACGGAAAGGCCCUGCUUUUGUGGGGUGCUCGAGUGGCGAACGGGUGAGUAACACGUGAGUAACCUGCCCUUGACUUUGGGAUAACUUCAGGAAACUGGGGCUAAUACCGGAUAGGAGCUCCUGCUGCAUGGUGGGGGUUGGAAAGUUUCGGCGGUUGGGGAUGGACUCGCGGCUUAUCAGCUUGUUGGUGGGGUAGUGGCUUACCAAGGCUUUGACGGGUAGCCGGCCUGAGAGGGUGACCGGCCACAGUGGGACUGAGAUACGGCCCAGACUCCGACGGGAGGCAGCAGUGGGGAAUAUUGCACAAUGGGCGGAAGCCUGAUGCAGCAACGCCGCGUGCGGGAUGACGGCCUUCGGGUUGUAAACCGCUUUCGCCUGUGACGAAGCGUGAGUGACGGUAAUGGGUAAAGAAGCACCGGCUAACUACGUG
RNAcentral lists this ribosomal RNA (468 nucleotides) under uncultured bacterium. Its description in RNAcentral is "partial 16S ribosomal RNA". It matches the Rfam family "Bacterial small subunit ribosomal RNA", at positions 28 to 507 of the family's 1533-position model. The record is from RNAcentral.